UUUUAUUUGUUAAUUUAUUAAUCUUUUGUAGACACGGGGUCUCGCUGUAUUGCCCAGGCUGCUCAUGAACUCCUGGACUCAAGUGACCUUCUUUCCUCAGCCUCCCAAAGUGCUGGGAUUCCACUAGCAGUGAGCCUGAGCCACCACGCCCAGCCAGAUCUCCCCUUCCUGUUGGAAUUCUCUCUUAGGUUUUUGUCUCUAGCAAUGCCUACCAGGUUUCUUUCUUUUUUUUUUUUUUUUUUUUUUUUUGAGACAGAGUCUUGCUCUGUCACCCAGGCUGGAGUGCAAUGGCACAAUCUUGGCUCAUUGCAACCUCCGCCUCCCACCCGGGAGCAAUUCUCCUGCCUCAGCCUUCCAAGCAGCUGGGGCUACAGGCAUGUGCCACCACAGCUGGGUAAUUUGGUUUUUGUUUUUGUUGUUGUUGUUGUUGUUGUUUGAGACACAGUCUCACACUCUCACCCAGGCUGGAGUGCAGUGGCGCCAUCUCAGCUCACUGCAAGCUCCGCCUCCCGGAUUCACACCAUUCUCCUGCCUCAGCCUCCCGAGUAGCUGGGACUACAGGCGCUCGCCACCACGCCCGGCUAAUUUUUUGUGUUUUUAGUAGAGACAGGGUUUCACCGUGUUAGCCAGGAUGGUCUCAAUCUGACCUUGUGAUCCGCCCGCCUCGGCCUCCCAAAGUGCUGGGAUUACAGGCGUGAGCCACCGCACCCGGCAGCCUUGGCUAACUUUUAAAAAAAUGUUUUUAGUAGAGAUGGGGUCUCACCAUAUUGGCUAGCCUAGUCUUAACUCCUGGGCUUCCACCUCAACCUCCCAAAGUGCUGGGAUUACAGGCAUGGGCCACCGCACCCGGCCCUUAGUUAAUUUCUGGACCAAGGAAUUGGAAUCUGGGGUCUUUUAGGAAACGACUGGGGAUUCAGCAACCUGCCAAAUUGAGCCUUGGAGCAGCCUCUGAGAUGUUAGCUGUGGAGGAGGAGGCCCCUGCUUCCUGGGGCCCAUCAUCCAUUCCCAAAAGUGCUGAGCAUUGCAGGCUCUUCAAGAGCUGCGGUCAACACCAGCUCCAGGCCUCGGGCUGGAAGCCUCUUCAGCAAGUGCCGCAGGGAGGCCCUGGGUGGGUGAGCCGGGAGGUGGAAUUGCGUAACAGCUCUGUAUCCAUUGCUGCGGUCAUUAGCCAUGGAGAGGGUGACGGGGGCUGUAACGGGGCAAGCCUCCCGGGUUCCAGCUGCCAUCCUCGCCCCUCUGGGCUCUUUCCUCCCUGGCUCUGCUAUAGCCGGAGCGGUUGCAGGGCACACAUUACUCGGUGCAGUCGGACAUCUGGAGCAUGGGCCUGUCCCUGGUGGAGCUGGCCGUCGGAAGGUACCCCAUCCCCCCGCCCGACGCCAAAGAGCUGGAGGCCAUCUUUGGCCGGCCCGUGGUCGACGGGGAAGAAGGAGAGCCUCACAGCAUCUCGCCUCGGCCGAGGCCCCCCGGGCGCCCCGUCAGCGGUCACGGGAUGGAUAGCCGGCCCGCCAUGGCCAUCUUUGAACUCCUGGACUAUAUUGUGAACGAGCCGCCUCCUAAGCUGCCCAACGGUGUGUUCACCCCCGACUUCCAGGAGUUUGUCAAUAAAUGGUAGGUGGAGCCGGGCUGCCCACACCCCUGGCCGGGACCCAGAUGUGCCACUCCUUCCGGGUCCUGGGUGGGGCCCGUGGCCCAGCCUGCCCAUCCAGAAUCCCAGUGCAGCGUCGGGCAGGACUCAGCCCAACGGGAAGCCAGAUUCCCUUUCCCAGAGCUGUGGGGCUGCAGCUCCCAGCUGCCAUGCCAUCCUGUCCCUGAGCCCAGGGGUGAGGCAGGAUUGCAGGCCCUGUGGACAUGACGGUGUCCCCGCCUCACUGUCUGCAGCAGGAGAAGCCUCUGUCUGGUCCCCGAACCCCUGGUGUGCUGACUGCAGGUUCCGGGAGGGUCGCCAGCCCCACUCCAUUCUUCUGCCCCCAAGCACCCAGCAGCACCUGUGGCGUGGGCCUCACAGGCAUGUGCCACAGACCACGGGGAAGGAUCUGCAGACACCCCGCUGCUCAUAGGGCCGGUCCGUGUGUGUGAGCUCGGGACGCCGUGGAAUGGCACCGCACUCCUGGUGCCGGAGUUGCCCUUGGCGUGCGCUCCGGCGAUGUUGCCCCGGGCCUGGGGUUUUAUUAGACAGUUAGCUGGGGUUGCGUCCAGGCUUCUGACCCACCAGGCGGGGUUUCCCACCCUCUUUCCCUCUCACCCUCCCCCCGGGAGGUGUCCUGCCCCUGGCACCAAAGUGCAGAGGUGGAUCCCUCGUCCUCUGCCAGGAGGCAGAGCAGAGCAGCCAGCUCUGUGCCACUCUCUCUGGUCGGAGAGAUCCAGGUCCCCUCCGACCACAGCCCAAACGCAGGUGCCCUGGGGCCACCAACUGACUGCCCUGUCUUGUCUCCCCCACCGCCUCCUGGUCCUGCCUCUUGGAACCCCCAGCCUCAUCAAGAACCCAGCGGAGCGGGCGGACCUGAAGAUGCUCACAAACCACACCUUCAUCAAGCGGUCCGAGGUGGAAGAAGUGGAUUUUGCUGGCUGGUUGUGUAAAACCCUGCGGCUGAACCAGCCCGGCACACCCACGCGCACCGCCGUGUGACAGUGGCCGGGCUCCCUGCGUCCCGCUGGUGACCUGCCCACCGUCCCUGUCCAUGCCCCGCCCUUCCAGCUGAGGACAGGCUGGCGCCUCCACCCACCCUCCUGCCUCACCCCUGCGGAGAGCACCGUGGCGGGGCGACAGCGCAUGCAGGAACGGGGGUCUCCUCUCCUGCCCGUCCUGGCCGGGGUGCCUCUGGGGACGGGCGACGCUGCUGUGUGUGGUCUCAGAGGCUCUGCUUUCUUAGGUUACAAAACAAAACAGGGAGAGAAAAAGC
This 2900-nucleotide small RNA is filed under the name Pan troglodytes (chimpanzee). Its description in RNAcentral is "retained intron". The record is from RNAcentral. Lineage: Eukaryota; Metazoa; Chordata; Mammalia; Primates; Hominidae.